RNAcentral lists this ribosomal RNA (460 nucleotides) under uncultured bacterium. Its description in RNAcentral is "partial 16S ribosomal RNA". It matches the Rfam family "Bacterial small subunit ribosomal RNA", at positions 338 to 795 of the family's 1533-position model. The record is from RNAcentral.
CCUACGGGUGGCAGCAGUGAGGAAUAUUGGUCAAUGGACGAGAGUCUGAACCAGCCAAGUAGCGUGAAGGAUGACUGCCCUAUGGGUUGUAAACUUCUUUUAUAUGGGAAUAAAACGUUCCACGUGUGGGAUUUUGUAUGUACCAUAUGAAUAAGGAUCGGCUAACUCCGUGCCAGCAGCCGCGGUAAUACGGAGGAUCCGAGCGUUAUCCGGAUUUAUUGGGUUUAAAGGGAGCGUAGGUGGAUUGUUAAGUCAGUUGUGAAAGUUUGCGGCUCAACCGUAAAAUUGCAGUUGAAACUGGCAGUCUUGAGUACAGUAGAGGUGGGCGGAAUUCGUGGUGUAGCGGUGAAAUGCUUAGAUAUCACGAAGAAUUCCGAUUGCGAAGGCAGUUCACUGGACUGCAACUGACACUGAGGCUCGAAAGUGUGGGUAUCAAACAGGAUUAGAUACCCCAGUAGUC